This 510-nucleotide ribosomal RNA is filed under the name Lasiodiplodia theobromae. RNAcentral's name for it is "eukaryotic LSU rRNA". The stretch from base 133 to 286 matches the Rfam family "5.8S ribosomal RNA". Lineage: Eukaryota; Fungi; Ascomycota; Dothideomycetes; Botryosphaeriales; Botryosphaeriaceae. The record is from RNAcentral.
UUUCGAGCUCCGGGCUCGACUCUCCCACCCUUUGUGAACGUACCUCUGUUGCUUUGGCGGCUCCGGCCGCCAAAGGACCUUCAAACUCCAGUCAGUAAACGCAGACGUCUGAUAAACAAGUUAAUAAACUAAAACUUUCAACAACGGAUCUCUUGGUUCUGGCAUCGAUGAAGAACGCAGCGAAAUGCGAUAAGUAAUGUGAAUUGCAGAAUUCAGUGAAUCAUCGAAUCUUUGAACGCACAUUGCGCCCCUUGGUAUUCCGGGGGGCAUGCCUGUUCGAGCGUCAUUACAACCCUCAAGCUCUGCUUGGAAUUGGGCACCGUCCUCACUGCGGACGCGCCUCAAAGACCUCGGCGGUGGCUGUUCAGCCCUCAAGCGUAGUAGAAUACACCUCGCUUUGGAGCGGUUGGCGUCGCCCGCCGGACGAACCUUCUGAACUUUUCUCAAGGUUGACCUCGGAUCAGGUAGGGAUACCCGCUGAACUUAAGCAUAUCAAUAGCCGGAGGAAAA